UACGGAGGGUGCAAGCGUUGUCCGGAAUCACUGGGCGUAAAGCGCGCGCAGGCGGCCUCGCGCGCCCGGCGUGAAAGCCCCCGGCUUAACCCGGGGAGGGUCGUUGGGGACGGCGGGGCUUGAGGGCGGGAGAGGGUGGUGGAAUUCCCGGUGUAGUGGUGAAAUGCGUAGAGAUCGGGAGGAACACCCGUGGCGAAGGCGGCCACCUGGGCCGA
RNAcentral lists this ribosomal RNA (215 nucleotides) under uncultured bacterium. RNAcentral describes it as "partial 16S ribosomal RNA". It matches the Rfam family "Bacterial small subunit ribosomal RNA", at positions 524 to 737 of the family's 1533-position model. The record is from RNAcentral.